UACGUAGGGGGCAAGCGUUGUCCGGAAUCAUUGGGCGUAAAGAGCGUGUAGGCGGCCCGAUAAGUCCGACGUGAAAUCCCCAGGCUUAACCGGGGAACUGCGUCCGAUACUGGAUGGCUUGAGUUCGGGAGAGGGAUGCGGAAUUCCAGGUGUAGCGGUGGAAUGCGCAGAUAUCAGGAGGAACACCUAUAGCGAAGGCAGCUUGCUGGGACGAUACUGACGCUAAGGCUCGAAAGCGUGGGGAGCGAACAGG
Molecule: ribosomal RNA, 253 nt
Filed under: uncultured bacterium
Lineage: Bacteria
Description: partial 16S ribosomal RNA
Rfam family: Bacterial small subunit ribosomal RNA
Source: RNAcentral